This 823-nucleotide long non-coding RNA is filed under the name Vulpes vulpes (red fox). RNAcentral describes it as "lncRNA (ENSVVUG00000028817.1)". Lineage: Eukaryota; Metazoa; Chordata; Mammalia; Carnivora; Canidae. The record is from RNAcentral.
GUCUUAACAAACAGCCCCUUGCCUCAUGAUAGGGACAAAUGCCUUGUGGUUAAUUGUCUUAUUUUGGGAUUUGCAGAAGUCAUUUCUACAAAGGCUAUGAAGCAGAAUGCUAGUGUGUUCCUGUCUAAGCUGCAAAACAAGAUGAUAGUGCUGUUUUGUUUUAUCUGUCCUGACUCCAUAUUUUUGGGGGGAACCCUGGCUCUCACUACAUAACUGUCCAACCAACUCCUGACACUAGACUGUGGAAGCACUGGGCCUAUGCAGCCCAGUCCUAUACUUACAGUAGAAUUGGAAAUUAACUGAGACAGAAAAACUCUUUCUGGAGAAUGAUGAAUCACGUGAUCAUUUUGGUCAGAUCCUGAAUAGUGAAGAGGUGGAAAAAAUAGAACCCAGAUAUAUGUUUGCAGAUGGACACUUGUGAGAAGCUAUGGAGACCUGGAUCAUUCUCUUUCUCAUCUUUAAAGUCAAUAUAAUCUGUCAGUCCUGGAAAGGUAAAAGAUGAAGCAAGCACUCAUUGUCUUAAGAAUAUUUAGAGAAAGUGAUCUGGGGAGGCUCUGGACCAGGGAAUACAUUAAGAGCAAGAUGAUUGAGUAAGGACACCUCCACUUCUUUUAACCCCUUAGCUUGUAGAACACUUCUUGCCACAAAUGUAUAACCUGUGGAACAGGAAUGAAUAUAUUUGUAUAUGAUAAUUCUCUGUAAGUUGUCAAAUCUUGCUGAAAAGGCAUACCCUGGAGAAGUGACUUUUUUGCUUGCCUUGCAAUUCGCUGACUUAGAUGGGGAUUUACUAGAAGUUGUAAUUGGCUCUUCUGAUCGACAAUGA